Long non-coding RNA from Homo sapiens (human), 978 nucleotides. Ensembl annotates it as long intergenic non-protein coding RNA 1791. The record is from Ensembl. Lineage: Eukaryota; Metazoa; Chordata; Mammalia; Primates; Hominidae.
AUUCCGAGAUUGUGUGCUGAGGGUUUUCAACUGCAUCUCUAAAGGGAAGGCCAAAGAAAGAGCAACAGGAAAGGAUGGUAAAAAGGGGGUAGAAAGGAAGAAGGAAGGGAAGAAAAAAGGGAAAACAGCAAGCUCUCUUUCCAGAGCCACACAUUUUUUUCUGUUUGCUCAGUGGCAGUCUGUUAAAGAAAUACUUCAUUGUCACUGAACACAGAGUCAUUAAAGGCACCUUGGAAAUUUGGACCCUUUUACUAGAAUCAGGGCUUAAAUAGCAACUUAAUUUAUGACACUUCUCGAGGCUGAUGGCGUUUUUGCUCUAAGACCUGCCUUGCAAGAAAUGUUAAAAGAAGUGCUUUAGAGAGCAGGGAAAUUCUAUAGGUCAGACACUUGGAUCUACAUAAAAAAAGGAAGAAACCAAAGGAGAAAUAAGUGAAGGCAUGGAAACCUUGUUCCACACAUUGCCUGGUGCCCUGUCCAGCGCUGCAAGGUGCACUGCGUCUCCUCUGCCCAGCAAGCCACAAGCCCCUCCAGGGUGAGAGGAGAGCCUUCCCUUCCCUUGGUCCUCCCUUCGACACAGGGAGCUGGAGCUGGACAGCCCCAUAGGCACUCAGGCACUGAAAUACUGGCCGUUUAUGGCUCCUGAAACUUGGGAUGGGAGGACCCAGAGAGCUCUUUUCACCAAGAGUGUGACCUCAGCAGCUUUCAUUCCUUCCUGGCCCCAGCUGGCUCUGGGCUGAGCCCGCUUCACCAGGGAGCACCAUGUGAAGAUGAGUCUCAACCUGGAGUCUGCCAUUUGUUUCCAGUCCUUCACUGCCAUUCCAAAGAGAGGAAUGACUGCCCGACCCUCCAUCUGGGGCAGACUCAGCCCAAAACAGAGGCUGUUGGCCCCUUUCCCCACCUCUCAGCUCCUUAGCACUUUGAAUCCAAUCCUACUCUUUGGAACUUAGCUGAUAAAUACAAGGCUGCCUUUUCCAAAAA